RNAcentral lists this transfer RNA (72 nucleotides) under Gyrinomimus myersi. RNAcentral describes it as "tRNA-Gln". It matches the Rfam family "tRNA". Rfam says of the family: Transfer RNA (tRNA) molecules are approximately 80 nucleotides in length. Their secondary structure includes four short double-helical elements and three loops (D, anti-codon, and T loops). Lineage: Eukaryota; Metazoa; Chordata; Actinopteri; Beryciformes; Cetomimidae. The record is from RNAcentral.
UAGAAAGUGGUGUAGUGGAAGCACAAGGAGUUUUGAUCUCCUAAGCAUGGGGUUCGAGUCCCCUUUUUCUAA